GGUUUUCACCAGAGCCGAAAUCCCCUGGUAGAAAUAGUGCUUUUAUUGGCUCGCUGGACAGAACUUGGCUGGAUGGGAUUGAUUGAUCUCGCAUGACCUACUGUCUUCAAAUAUUGCGGAAAUUAAGGCAAAUUGCUUUCAAAAGUAAAUAUUUUUUUGUUCGUGUUAAUGGAUUUAAAACAAAUAUUUCCUUUGUUGCCUUCUGAUAUUGAGAUAUUG
Molecule: long non-coding RNA, 219 nt
Filed under: Carica papaya (papaya)
Lineage: Eukaryota; Viridiplantae; Streptophyta; Magnoliopsida; Brassicales; Caricaceae
Description: long non-coding RNA (CPAP_LNC001138)
Source: RNAcentral